This is a long non-coding RNA of Acinonyx jubatus (cheetah), 5774 nucleotides long. RefSeq lists it as uncharacterized. The record is from RefSeq and is a predicted model, not a curated record. Lineage: Eukaryota; Metazoa; Chordata; Mammalia; Carnivora; Felidae. The transcript has 5 exons.
CCCAGCAGGCGGGUUUCUCUAGCUUUUCGUCAAGACCGCAUGCCCUAGAGACUGUCGGAGUUUUUGUACUGCCUUCUGGAACUCGUAGUCCUUUAAGGACGCGAAGGGGGCUUAUGCCGCGGGCAGGUUACCGGGGGUGGACUGCAUUUCCCAGGGUGCAUGAAGAAACCGAGGCGCUGAGGAGGGCGGGAGGACUGUUUCCAUAGCAAAGGCGGCUGGUUGGGGCCGGCUGACUGAGAAAUGGGGCAGGCCGCGGGACCCUCGGAUUGUGCGUGACUACCGGCAGCCUCUUGGGAGGGCGUUUCGAUUUUUUUUUUUUUUUUUUUUUUUUUUUUUUGUCGUUCUCGGCACCCUCCACGGGACUCUGGGCCUCAGUUUUCCUACCCGAGAAGAAAGGUGUGGAGCCGUCCCCCUGCCCACAGUCCGCGGUGAUGGGGCAAACCGAGGUCGAGCCGCUCUGGUUUGCCCAGCAAAGGUUCUACAGAUACUGAGGUGGCAGCUCAUCCCUGUGGUUCCCGUGUGGCCCCAGUUCUGCCCUCUGAAGCUCAGAGCCCACAUACCAGAUGUUACGGAACCUCUUUACCUUGGCUGCCCCUCUCUGCAAAUAUGUGGCCAGACUAGAAUGUUCAAGCCCGGACAAGGAAACUGAGGCCUAUAGAGGUUCUAAGACUAGCCCAAGGUCACACAGCCAGUAAGUGGGAGAGAUGGGCCAGCCAUCCACUGUCAGAGCCUGAGUACUGCCCUUCCUACUGCCCAUUCUACUGUGGAACAUCUCUGGCUAUUGAAACGUUUUCUCUCACAUGGAGCUAAAAAUCUCCUUCUCACUAAACUGCAGGAUGAACCUUCAGGACUGAGUCUCCUUUGGAUUUGCCCAGCUAGUGACUACAACUGAAGCCCUGAGACAUGUACUCCUUGGGACCAGGAAAGGUAAGAAGGGCAUCCUGAAAAUCCUUCCUGAAGAUGAUAAGACUUGGCAUCAUUUCGAGAGGCUUAUUUGUCAUUGAUACUGCCCCAGGAGCUGGGGGAAUUGAGUGGCACCUGAGGAUAAUGAACUAAGGACACCUCUGGCUCAGAACUUGAGAAAAUCCCUCUGGACCCAAAGAGGCCACAAGCCCACAGAUUAAAGCCCAAAUUCUACAGAAAUGAAUUUUUGUCACACCUCCUCAAGGGCCGAGAAAAGUGGGAGAGAACAUGGAGAUCCUUUUCAGUGUGACUGUCCUAAGGAACAGGCUGCCCAGAGUUUCAGACCCAGUACCUAGAACAGGACUUUAAACCUGGUAAUACCCAAAAAACACUUGGAAAGUAAAUGAAUACCUUUCAGUCUGGUGAUUGAAUUGGAACAGCUCAGUAAGGAGAAGAAAUGCCCUCGAGGCGUGACCGACAUGGACUCUCACUGAAAAUCAUGGGUCCCGACCCCAAGAGUGCCCCUCUUUAGACCCAAGGGCUUCAGGGAACCUCAGUGGAGUCAGCUGGGGAAGGGCCACCAAGUAGUUUCAACCAAAACUGCAAGCAUACUCAAAAAUUUCUCAACCAAAGCACACUACAAAACAUAAGCAGAUUCUGAAAAGUCCCCAUUGCGUCUCAUAUAUUACAUAGUGCCAUGUGACUUCUAUUUGUGUGUUUUUAUUUUUUUAAGUUUGUUACUUAUUUUUUUAGUUAUCUCUACACCCAGUGUGCGGCUGAAACUCCUGAUCCCAAGAUCAAGAGUCACAUACUCUUCCGACUGAGCCAGGCAGGCACCCCUGUUUCUGGGAAAAUGGGAUCUGGUUUUAGGAAGCCACAGGAUCCCAUCUUGCUGCCCUAACACCUGACCUGGGGCAUCUGUUAGCUCUUGACAUUGAACACCCAUCCACUCUGGAACUGGGCAUAGAGAUUAAGAUGGUUUUCAAAAACUUGGAGGAAGAGACUAUUUUGCUGAAGAAAAAAACAUUAUUCUUCUUACUAAGAAGAGUUUUCAAAGAAACUGGACAUUGUGUCCAAGGUACCAACUUCUUCAUAAAGAAAAUUGGGGAGGCACUCUUUCCUCUAAGCCUUCACAACUAAGAUGGAAACAUGAAGGUUGGAAUGGUUUGUUACUAAUCUAUGUUUAUAAAAGGAGUAUCUAGAACACCCAGUAGCUGUGUGAGAGCACCGAGGGGCUCAUUCCUGCUGUUGAGAGAGAGGUCUAAGGUGAUGCAGAGGGGGCUCCUUCGACCUUUGGUGAUGGAGUUCCCAUUGUUUUUGUCCUGGCUUUGUUGUGACCCAUAUCCACGAAGCUACACACCCACAGGGCAUGGACUAGCUGUGCCUUGUCCACUUGUGAGCUCUACAGUGCCCAUUCUUGGGCUUGGCAUAGGUAGAUGUUCCCUAAGUGCUUCCAGAAUUUCAUUGAAUUAUCCCUGCAGCUCAGGUAGUGGAUACUUACGUGACAGGUCACAUAGUGCUGUUGGCAAAAGCUCUUCCUUCUCCUGGCUGUCUCAGAAGCGAGGUCUUUGGAGGAGGGCAUGUGUCACUCUGGGUCCUAGACUGCAACCAGCCGGCACCGUUGAUCCCAGGGCUGUCUCAGUCCAUCGACUCACCCAGAGCCCCAGAGCCCCAGAGCCACGUGCAACAAGCAAAUGGGAAGUUGGCUUUCCUUUUUCUUCCUGUCUUUGAUCCUUUCCUUCCACUCUUAACUGGUGGAGCACCAGAUGGGCCAGCCAGUGUUCUAGAUGCUGGGACCACAAGGCAGGACCUUGUUUGGAAAGCUCUUUAUUGAAGUGCACAGAGAAAGAGAUCGAUUCUUUGCUUCUCAGAGAGAUAAGCUGAGGGGACUUUAUUACAAGUUACCCAGGGAAGUGGAUGUUCACCACUGUGGGCCUUCUGGCAUCCAUUUCUUAUUCCCUUUGAUGACAUAUUACACACUUUAUUUGAAUGUUCAUCUUUCCCCCAUGCAGCCUCUAGACUUCCCACCCUCCUCCAGCUACACAGGCAGGUCUUGAUAGAGUGAAACCAAUCAGCAUGUCCCAUCCACCUGGCCUCAGCAAUUGGCCAAUGGGUAGACACCAGACCCAAUCUGGAUCAACUGGACCGGAGGGACUUUUGAUGGGUCCUUGGGAAGAUGGUUUCUUGAUCAUGGGGAGAAAGACCCACAGACUCUUCUGUGUGGUCAGAGUGUGGACAUGGGUUUGGAACAGCUUUGACUUCUUUACAGCCUUGAGUGUGGCUCAGCUAGGGAUGAAGCCCAUAGCCAGAGCUAGGCAGGCCUGAGAGAAUCCCAGAGCAGUGGAGUCAGCACCCUGCCUGAACCUCGGCUGGCACCUCGGCCACCUCUGGACUCUGAGGCUAUGUGAGCCAAUCCACUCUCUUUAUUGUGUGAUUUAGUUUGGAUUGGGUCAUCUGUGUCCUGCAGCUGAAAGCAUACUCGCUGAUCUCACCGAAGAGGAAUUUCAAAUCUGGUUUCUUGACCUUGAAAGGCAGUCUGGGUUUGGGGAAGGAGGGGCAGGCACUGGUUAGUGACCCAUCCAAGGACCAACAGCCUUGUGUCCCCAGCUCAGGAGAAGUGGGAAGGAGACCUGAAUAUGGAUAGAAAAGUCUAGGCAGGUGGGGUGAGGGGAGGGCUGGUGCCAGGGUCCCUCGCCCCCAGCCUUGGCUGGCAGCUGCUGCAGUUUAACUCCACCUGACUAGUAAAUGCAGAGUGCAGUCCACCUAAAGAAAUCAGAGCAGCUGCCACUUCAAAGCAGGAGAUGUGUGUAGGUGGGUGGGGAGGAGGCGGAUAAUUAUGCAGGGAAAAUACUUUUCUUGAUGUUCUUCUGGAAAUGUGCAUGGAGCACAGGGAGCAGCAGGAGAGACCACGGGAAAGGGAAAAUGUAUUAGUAGAGGAUAUGCAUUGUACCUCUCCAAAGGGGCAUAGGUUGGGAUUUGCAGCCGGUCCCAUGCUCAUCUGACCACAGCACCCUUUUAUGGGAAGCAUCUGAGACUCCAUGGGACACCACCAGAUAUGGGACUUCAUCCACGAGUGACUGAGGGAUUUGUUGGGAAUGAUUGAGUCCACCUUUGUAUGUGUGUUUGUACAACACACUGGCUCUUCCUCAUGACCAGGAGGCUGGGUGCCGUUUGCAUUUUCUCACGCUCUGGAGAAGGAGAAGGGAACUCGGGCCUAGCAGGAGAGGAGGCUGCAACGUGCCAGGGAGAGCUAGGGCCUCUAUGUGCCAUCUCUCUGCCCCACUGGGGAUCUGCCCACAGACUCCACGUACUGUGCAUGCUUUGAGUGGCAGAGGGACACCACUGAAAUUUCAGAAGCAGCUCUGAGUCUGUGAACGUUGGAUGCCAACAAUUAUCCAGCUGUGAGUAAGCUGAACAUUUCUUAGGGCCAUUUUUGUGUAAUUAUAAAUAUUUGAGGAUGUUAAGCUCCCAGGUUACAUAUUGAGGGUAUUAUUUGAGCAAUGGCUGGCUGCCAGCUGGAAAUGCAAACACCCUUUCAUUCCCCUCUCCUGGAGCACUUAGAAUAUUUUAUGGGAUUCAAAAGAAAAAAGUUUCAGUUGAGAAAAACAACAACAACUGGAAACAAAGUCAGUUGCUAAUAUUUCUAAAUAGCUCUAAAUCAAAAAAGAGGAAUGUGACCAUUUUACUUAAUUGUGGUGGGUUUGUGAUGCAUUUUCUCUAUGGGUUAGGAAAGCAAUUACCAUCAAACAACCUACUUGUGCCUCCAUUGUGAUAAAUGUUCCCUCUAAUGGGGUUGACAUGCCAGGCAGAGGGCCUUUUAAAGCACUUAAUGCUUCAGGAAGUGUUUGCACGUGUGCAGCUCCUUGGCGUGCACUGAGAGCCCAUGACUGGCUCCCUCUAAGGAUAUAUCGUGGUGCAGGGGGUUCUUAAUAGGAGAUAGGUCCUUUGAAGCAGCAGCUGAGGCCUGGGGCAUGAAUGACGUCUCUGUUGCCCUGUCUCUGUCCAGGGCCCCACGUGAGGCCUUGGGGCCUGUCCAGCCCUCGUACCCUUGGUCACCCUAUCCUGUCCAGCCAACCUGAGAAGUCUUAUAUCACCUCACCUGCCCCCAUCUGCAUUCCUCCCACCCUGGAAAACACGGGCCAUCUCCCACCAACACAUGUACAACCUCUCCUUCCAUCUUCUGCCUGGAACCUGACCCCUCCUGCUAAGCUUCCCCAUACCCCCUGAGCAUUGACACUCAUUCUCCAGACCCCCAGUACUCCCAGAGACCAUAGCUUCUGUGCCCUUGAACAACCCCACCCAGCCUCUGAGGUUCCUGCAUGCUGUUCCCCCCUUUCUCAGCCGUUGCUCUGGGCCCUGGCUUACCCUUUCUCACCUAAAGAACUGCCUUCAUCUUGGGUAACUUUAACAUGGUGUGAAUGGCCCAUUGCACUGGCCAGGUCAGAGACUUCCUUGAUACCCUUCCACUUGCUUUCACAACCAGGCUGCCAUGUCCAGACCUGGCAAUCUUAGCCAUUAGGUGACACCUUGGCCACAGUGAGCGCCCUGUAUCUCCCCUACCCUCUGCUCCUGCGGAGGCCUCUGGUCCCCAGCCCCAAGGAUUUUGUGGCCUCAUUUCUGGCUGGGACGCUGUGGCCAUCCCUCUUACUCUGUCUAGGGCUCCUGAACCCCAUCAUCUCCAUCCCUCAGCCCAGGAGCUGCCAUCUAAGGCCCCUGCUUGGGCACGGAGCUGCUGCUUGGCGACCCUACUAGCCAGCCCCGGAGGGAAUCCUGACCGUGCAGCCUCCCACGCCCCUACCCCUCCCUGCCUUCUGUCCCCAGUUCCUAAGGUCACAGCGAAACGUCCGUGAAAACGUGUUAAUAGUAAAAUA